This 304-nucleotide long non-coding RNA is filed under the name Rattus norvegicus (Norway rat). Its description in RNAcentral is "long non-coding RNA NONRATT033201". Lineage: Eukaryota; Metazoa; Chordata; Mammalia; Rodentia; Muridae. The record is from RNAcentral.
AUGCAAUUUCCUGAAAGGAAUGACCCAAGUUCCAAUGCGAAUCCAGGCAUAAAUGUUGUGGUAAUACAAUUUCCACAAAGGAAUGACCCAAGUUCCAAUGUGAAUCCAGGCAUAAAUGAUGUGUUAAUGCAAUUAUGUCAAAGGAAUGACCCAAGUUCCAAUGCGAAUCCAGGCAUAAAUGAUGUGUUAAUGCAAUUAUGUCAAAGGAAUGACCCAAGUUCCAAUGCGAAUCCAGGUAUGAAUUAUGAAUAUUUCACAAUAAAAUGGUCUAGGGGAAAAUUGAGAUAAAAUUUAAUGCCAUUUG